AGUGAACGCUGGCGGUAGGCCUAACACAUGCAAGUCGAACGGCAGCACAGUAAGAGCUUGCUCUUACGGGUGGCGAGUGGCGGACGGGUGAGGAAUACAUCGGAAUCUACUUUUUCGUGGGGGCUAACGUAGGGAAACUUACGCUAAUACCGCAUACGACCUACGGGUGAAAGCAGGGGAUCUUCGGACCUUGCGCGAUUGAAUGAGCCGAUGUCGGAUUAGCUAGUUGGCGGGGUAAAGGCCCACCAAGGCGGCGAUCCGUAGCUGGUCUGAGAGGAUGAUCAGCCACACUGGAACUGAGACACGGUCCAGCCUCCUACGGGAGGCAGCAGUGGGGAAUAUUGGACAAUGGGCGCAAGCCUGAUCCAGCCAUACCGCGUGGGUGAAGAAGGCCUUCGGGUUGUAAAGCCCUUUUGUUGGGAAAGAAAAGCAGCAGGUUAAUACCACGCUGUUCUGACGGUACCCAAAGAAUAAGCACCGGCUAACUUCGUG
Molecule: ribosomal RNA, 492 nt
Filed under: uncultured bacterium
Lineage: Bacteria
Description: partial 16S ribosomal RNA
Rfam family: Bacterial small subunit ribosomal RNA
Source: RNAcentral